GAGCGGUAGGAGACCAGACUGAGAGGAAUUCAAAUGCAGGGGAGAUACGUGACCGAUGCUCCUGACCAGUUUCAAAGCCUCCAGGUUCACUGCAGAGGAGCGAGAUUGCCAUCUUCUGGUAAACAAGAUUGAGAGCAUACAGCUGGCUUUCCUUGAACUUGCCGGGAAAAGUCCCAACUUAACUAGCGGCUCACAUAAAUUCUCCAUAAAACUAAGCUGUGAUAGACUUCUCUUCAAAGAAGGACUUAUUGUCCCAUGCUUCAGCUUCCAACCUCUUUAGGGAUUCCUCAGCUGCACCUACUGACUCUUCCAACUGCCCCCGUUUCCCGGGGCCCACAUCCAGUGACUGGUGGAUACAGGAAUAUAAAGGCCAGCCAUUUUGGCCUAACUUUGGACUCCUCUAAUGGACCAUCUUAGCUCCAGAGCAACUUGUAGGAUUGACUUCUGUCAACCGUCCUAUCUUGAAUCUGGUCUUGGUCUAAUCCUGCUUCCUUACCCUCCCUUCCACAGGUGUUAAUCCCAAUGACAUUCCUUAAUGAAUAUCUUGCAGGCUAACUUCACCUCAGAGUCUGCUUCCCAGGGAAUCUAAACAGCAACUCAAGCUAAAGGACAGCUUUGUUGUCACCACUGACUUUGUUUUGUCAUCUUCUAUGGAAAAAGACUUUAUUUUUAACUUAAUCAAAAAUUAUUUAUCUUGGGGCCAGCAGAGUGGCUCAGUGAUUAAGUUCACAUGCUCCACUUUGGUGGCCCGGGGUUCACAGGUUCGAAUCCUGGGCGCAGACCAAUGCACCGCUCAUCAAGCCAAGCUGUGGUGGCAUCCCACACAUGAAAUAGAGGAAGAUGGGUACAGAUGUUAGCUCAGGGCUAAUCUUUCUCACCAAAAAAAAAAAAAAAAAAAUUUGUCUCAUCAAAUUUUAUUAAAUACAUGAUAUACCUUUAGAUAACUAAAAUACUAUAAGAAGCAUGGUUUUUGGCCAUUAUGUCUAUUUCAUAUCAUUGACAUGGUUUGCAUAAGCCUUUACGUGUGUGUAUGUGUACAUUGAUCGAAAUAUUGUAUUGAUAUAUUGAUCUAAAUUGGAAAACCUGAACAGUUUAUUGGAUCAAUGUUUUAACUUCUAGCUAGUUUAACUAUAAAAUAUGGUUGCUUAAAAUAUGUAUUUUAAGGUAAUA
Long non-coding RNA from Diceros bicornis minor, 1170 nucleotides. RefSeq lists it as uncharacterized. The transcript has 3 exons. The record is from RefSeq and is a predicted model, not a curated record. NCBI's taxonomy places the organism in Eukaryota, Metazoa, Chordata, Mammalia, Perissodactyla, Rhinocerotidae.